AGCGAACGCUGGGGGCAGGCCUAACACAUGCAAGUCGAACGAACCUUUCGGGGUUAGUGGCGGACGGGUGAGUAACACGUGGGAACGUGCCUUUAGGUUCGGAAUAACUCAGGGAAACUUGUGCUAAUACCGAAUGUGCCCUUCGGGGGAAAGAUUAAUCGCCUUUAGAGCGGCCCGCGUCUGAUUAGCUAGUUGGUUGAGGUAAUGGCUCACCAAGGCGACGAUCAGUAGCUGGUCUGAGAGGAUGAUCAGCCACAUUGGGACUGAGACACGGCCCAAACUCCUACGGGAGGCAGCAGUGGGGAAUCUUGCGCAAUGGGCGAAAGCCUGACGCAGCCAUGCCGCGUGAAUGAUGAAGGUCUUAGGAUUGUAAAAUUCUUUCACCGGGGACGAUAAUGACGGUACCCGGAGAAGAAGCCCCGGCUAACUUCGUG
This 434-nucleotide ribosomal RNA is filed under the name uncultured bacterium. Its description in RNAcentral is "partial 16S ribosomal RNA". It matches the Rfam family "Bacterial small subunit ribosomal RNA", at positions 29 to 507 of the family's 1533-position model. The record is from RNAcentral.